AACAGGGAAGAAGCUUUGCUUUCUUUCGCUGACGAGUGGCGGACGGGUGAGUAAUGUCUGGGAAACUGCCUGAUGGAGGGGGAUAACUACUGGAAACGGUAGCUAAUACCGCAUAACGUCGCAAGACCAAAGAGGGGGACCUUCGGGCCUCUUGCCAUCGGAUGUGCCCAGAUGGGAUUAGCUAGUAGGUGGGGUAAAGGCUCACCUAGGCGACGAUCCCUAGCUGGUCUGAGAGGAUGACCAGCCACACUGGAACUGAGACACGGUCCAGACUCCUACGGGAGGCAGCAGUGGGGAAUAUUGCACAAUGGGCGCAAGCCUGAUGCAGCCAUGCCGCGUGUAUGAAGAAGGCCUUCGGGUUGUAAAGUACUUUCAGCGGGGAGGAAGGGAGUAAAGUUAAUACCUUUGCUCAUUGACGUUACCCGCAGAAGAAGCACCGGCUAACUCCGUGCCAGCAGCCGCGGUAAUACGGAGGGUGCAAGCGUUAAUCGGAAUUACUGGGCGUAAAGCGCACGCAGGCGGUUUGUUAAGUCAGAUGUGAAAUCCCCGGGCUCAACCUGGGAACUGCAUCUGAUACUGGCAAGCUUGAGUCUCGUAGAGGGGGGUAGAAUUCCAGGUGUAGCGGUGAAAUGCGUAGAGAUCUGGAGGAAUACCGGUGGCGAAGGCGGCCCCCUGGACGAAGACUGACGCUCAGGUGCGAAAGCGUGCGGAGCAAACAGGAUUAGAUACCCUGGUAGUCCACGCCGUAAACGAUGUCGACUUGCAGGUUGUGCCCUUGAGGCGUGUCUUCGGGAGCUAACGCGUUAAGUCGACCGCCUGGGGCAGUACGGCCGCAAGGUUAAAACUCAAAUGAAUUAGACGGGGGCCCGCACAAGCGUUGGAGCAUGUGGUUCAAUUCGAUGCUACGCGAAGAACUUAACCUGGUCUUGACGUCCACAGAA
This 941-nucleotide ribosomal RNA is filed under the name Escherichia coli. RNAcentral describes it as "bacterial SSU rRNA". It matches the Rfam family "Bacterial small subunit ribosomal RNA", at positions 65 to 995 of the family's 1533-position model. The record is from RNAcentral. Lineage: Bacteria; Pseudomonadati; Pseudomonadota; Gammaproteobacteria; Enterobacterales; Enterobacteriaceae.